This 497-nucleotide ribosomal RNA is filed under the name uncultured bacterium. RNAcentral describes it as "partial 16S ribosomal RNA". It matches the Rfam family "Bacterial small subunit ribosomal RNA", at positions 28 to 507 of the family's 1533-position model. The record is from RNAcentral.
GACGAACGCUGGCGGCGUGCCUAAUACAUGCCAGUUGAGCGAUGAAGAUUGGUGCUUGCACCAAUUUGAAGAGCAGCGAACGGGUGAGUAACGCGUGGGGAAUCUGCCUUUGAGCGGGGGACAACAUUUGGAAACGAAUGCUAAUACCGCAUAACAACUUUAAACAUAAGUUUUAAGUUUGAAAGAUGCAAUUGCAUCACUCAAAGAUGAUCCCGCGUUGUAUUAGCUAGUUGGUGAGGUAAAGGCUCACUAAGGCGAUGAUACAUAGCCGACCUGAGAGGGUGAUCGGCCACAUUGGGACUGAGACACGGCCCAAACUCCUACGGGAGGCAGCAGUAGGGAAUCUUCGGCAAUGGACGAAAGUCUGACCGAGCAACGCCGCGUGAGUGAAGAAGGUUUUCGGAUCGUAAAACUCUGUUGGUAGAGAAGAACGUUGGUGAGAGUGGAAAGCUCAUCAAGUGACGGUAACUACCCAGAAAGGGACGGCUAACUACGUG